Molecule: long non-coding RNA, 1108 nt
Organism: Parasteatoda tepidariorum (common house spider)
Lineage: Eukaryota; Metazoa; Arthropoda; Arachnida; Araneae; Theridiidae
Source: RefSeq, a predicted model, not a curated record
AUAUGCAUGCGCAGUACGAUUCUAUUGUAGCUAAGUAUGCGCAGUGGGUUCCAUGCAAUUUGUAUGGACUGUAGGAACAAUCAAGGACCCCUUGGUUAUGCAUGCGCAGUACGAUUUUAUUGUAGCUAGAUAUGCGCAGUGGGUUCCAUUAAAUUUGUAUGGACUUCCCAAGUAGCACAGAAACAUCGAUCUAUACCGUAGCCGUUCCCAUCAAUAUUUUGAAAGCGGAGGAAUAUAGAUACUGUGAGCAAGUUAUUGAAUGAAUUCCGUCAAUGAAACUUUAAAAGUAUUUUUCUUAAAACACUCUAUUUUAAAUAUAUUUUAGUUCCAAAGUUCACAAUAGUUGUUAGAAAGAUAAAAAUGAGUAAAAUUUCUUUAUACUUGCUCAUAUUAGUGAAAGUGAAAAAUAGAAUUCUGUGAAAACGAUAUGGUACGGGAUUGGAGGGUGAAGCGACCUCAAUAUUGUUAUCAGCAGCCAAGAUCGAUAUAAACGCUUGUAACGUGAUCUUCAGCUCUGACGUCACGCUUUACAAUCCAUGUUUCAGUUGGUUUGUGAUGUACGCUGUGAUGCAUUUUUAGCGUGUUGUAUCUCCUAAGUCACCUUACUGAUUUAAUUUAGGUUAGGCCUUCAUUACCGAGUAUUCCAUUAUAAAAGAUCAUAAUGUAGCUGGUUUUGAAUUGUAAUUAACGACUAAGAUGUUUAACUGUGUGUUAGAAAAUCAAGAGGAGAUUAAACAGUUAAGAAAGGAAAUUAUAGAAAUGAAGUCUCAUCAAAUGCAGUUCUCUGGAAAAGAAAGAUAAUUCAACAUCUGUUCUUUUAGAAUUACUAAGAGGUAUUGAGCUCCCGCUCUUCGGAUGGUGAUCUUAAUCAAUUAGAGGAAAAGUUGAAAGAAGAUAAGAAUUUAUAGUUUACUUCUACAGUUCUCAAACGCUUUGAGGCCAAGAGCUUGCGGAAAAAUUUGGGAAGGUCUGCUACAGCCACUGAUUGAUAAGGACGAAAACCUAAGAUAUUUGAUGUAACCAAUUCUUUGGACUUGGAGACCCAAUAAUGUGCCAAUUUGUUUUACUAAAUUUUUAAAUGUUUAUUCAAAUAAAAUAUUCAUAGCUA